AGAGUUUGAUCAUGGCUCAGGAUAAACGCUGGCGGCGUGCCUAACACAUGCAAGUCGAACGCCCUUGUACGCGAGUGCAAGGGAGUGGCGGACGGGUGAGUAACACGUGGGUGAUCUACCCUCUGGUGAGGAAUACCGGCGAGAAAUCGCCGACAAAACCGCAUGAGCUUGGAAACAAGCAAAAUCGUAAGAUGCCAGAG
Molecule: ribosomal RNA, 200 nt
Filed under: uncultured bacterium
Lineage: Bacteria
Description: partial 16S ribosomal RNA
Rfam family: Bacterial small subunit ribosomal RNA
Source: RNAcentral